Sitodiplosis mosellana (orange wheat blossom midge) is the source of this 159-nucleotide long non-coding RNA. RefSeq lists it as uncharacterized. The record is from RefSeq and is a predicted model, not a curated record. The transcript has 3 exons. NCBI's taxonomy places the organism in Eukaryota, Metazoa, Arthropoda, Insecta, Diptera, Cecidomyiidae.
UUUAGUUAUUGUUCAAGUGAUUCGACUAGAAACAUGUCUAAGCAAUUGAUGGUUUGUUUGAUUUUGGUUGCGGUUUUGGGAGACCGAUUCAUGCAAAUUGAAGGCGGACCUGGGUUUUUAGCCAAAGCAAAGGCAGGAAUAAUGGGCGGUAAGAUUAAA